GGCCAGACUCCUACGGGAGGCAGCAGUGGGGAAUAUUGCACAAUGGGGGAAACCCUGAUGCAGCGACGCCGCGUGAGUGAAGAAGUAAUUCGUUAUGUAAAGCUCUAUCAGCAGGGAAGAAAAUGACGGUACCUGAGUAAGAAGCCCCGGCUAACUACGUGCCAGCAGCCGCGGUAAUACGUAGGGGGCGAGCGUUAUCCGGAUUCACUGGGCGUAAAGGGAGCGCAGGCGGCACGGCAAGUCCGGUGUGAAAGCCCGGGGCCCAACCCCGGGACUGCACUGGAAACUGCCGGGCUGGAGUGUCGGAGGGGCAGGCGGAAUUCCUAGUGUAGCGGUGAAAUGCGUAGAUAUUAGGAGGAACACCGGUGGCGAAGGCGGCCUGCUGGACGACGACUGACGCUGAGGCUCGAAAGCGUGGGGAGCAAACAGGAUUAGAUACCCCAGUA
RNAcentral lists this ribosomal RNA (446 nucleotides) under uncultured bacterium. RNAcentral's name for it is "bacterial SSU rRNA". It matches the Rfam family "Bacterial small subunit ribosomal RNA", at positions 329 to 792 of the family's 1533-position model. The record is from RNAcentral.